GUGCUCUCUUUGGCAGCACAUAUACUAAAACUGGAAUGAUACAGAGAAGAUUAGCAUGGCUUUGCUCAAGGAUGACUUGCAAAUUCGUGAAGCAUUCCAUAUUUUU
Small nuclear RNA from Nyctereutes procyonoides (raccoon dog), 106 nucleotides. The record is from RefSeq and is a predicted model, not a curated record. Lineage: Eukaryota; Metazoa; Chordata; Mammalia; Carnivora; Canidae.